Molecule: long non-coding RNA, 659 nt
Filed under: Mus musculus (house mouse)
Lineage: Eukaryota; Metazoa; Chordata; Mammalia; Rodentia; Muridae
Description: lincRNA-EC29
Source: RNAcentral
AGGCUGGCCGCCAGAGGCACUAAGGCGGCCGCCUAGUUCCAGCAGCUAAGCCGGCCUGGGGUUGCCUAGUUACUGCCCAGAGAACAAGGAAGAGGUUCUAAAUGCAGGCAGACGCUCUGGCAAUCUUCGUCAAACUCUGUGGUGGCGUUGGCGUCCUAGAGCUCCGGAGUUGCUUACCCUUCCUGUAAGGGCAAUCGGACCCUUUCCGGUGAGGGAACCUCUCUCCAGACAUGAUCAAGAGAAACUGGCGAGGGACUGACAUGAUCUAGCUUACCUUGGGUCACCGAACGGAUUUGGUUUGUUUGUUCUUUCUCUACCCCAAGAAAAAGUCGCUAGCUACUGCAAGGUUUUGUUUUCAAACAAGGAACAGCAUGCCAAAAGAAAGUGCUGCGCCUACCUGAUGAGCAAGGGAAUAAUAUUCUUCUAGAAAACUUCUUGUAGUAGUAUCAAGUCUCCCCUUGAUUCUGAUAAACAUUGCGCGCGAAGUUUACACUUUAAGGAGGAGGCCGUUUCCCCCUUCUGAAAAGGCAUGUGACAUAAUUAUCCCAGCGAUCACUAAAACUGUAAAUUUGGAUGCAAUUAAGAGAGAAAACUCCACACAUUUAUGGAAAUUUAAGAUGGGGCUCCCUGAUUCUGUCAAAAUAGCAAAAACACAGAAG